Molecule: ribosomal RNA, 604 nt
Filed under: Oenococcus oeni
Lineage: Bacteria; Bacillati; Bacillota; Bacilli; Lactobacillales; Lactobacillaceae
Description: bacterial SSU rRNA
Rfam family: Bacterial small subunit ribosomal RNA
Source: RNAcentral
UAAUACAUGCAAGUCGUACGCUAGCCGCUGAAUUGAUCCUUCGGGUGAAGUGAGGCAAUGACUAGAGUGGCGAACUGGUGAGUAACACGUAAGAAACCUGCCCUUUAGUGGGGGAUAACAUUUGGAAACAGAUGCUAAUACCGCGUAACAACAAAUCACACAUGUGAUCUGUUUGAAAGGUCCUUUUGGAUCGCUAGAGGAUGGUCUUGCGGCGUAUUAGCUUGUUGGUAGGGUAGAAGCCUACCAAGGCAAUGAUGCGUAGCCGAGUUGAGAGACUGGCCGGCCACAUUGGGACUGAGACACUGCCCAAACUCCUACGGGAGGCUGCAGUAGGGAAUUUUCCGCAAUGCACGAAAGUGUGACGGAGCGACGCCGCGUGUGUGAUGAAGGCUUUCGGGUCGUAAAGCACUGUUGUAAGGGAAGAAUAACUGAAUUCAGAGAAAGUUUUCAGCUUGACGGUACCUUACCAGAAAGGGAUGGCUAAAUACGUGCCAGCAGCCGCGGUAAUACGUAUGUCCCGAGCGUUAUCCGGAUUUAUUGGGCGUAAAGCGAGCGCAGACGGUUUAUUAAGUCUGAUGUGAAAUCCCGAGGCCCAACCUCGGAA